This 2874-nucleotide ribosomal RNA is filed under the name Triticum aestivum (bread wheat). RNAcentral describes it as "partial small subunit ribosomal RNA". The record is from RNAcentral. Lineage: Eukaryota; Viridiplantae; Streptophyta; Magnoliopsida; Poales; Poaceae.
AUGCCUGAGAGCAUGACAUUUUCGUUAAGAAGAAGGCUACUAAGACAGUGCUCGAGUUUACAAAAGCAAGGAAACAAAAAGGAAGCAUGUAAAAAAACUGUUCAUUUUUUUUCGGAACAGACGCCUUUAGAAGCAGAGAGAACAAUGAAGCCUUUCGAAAACAUUGUGGCUGAUUUACGGGAAGAUGUCCAGCAGAUAUGGGAUGGUGUCCAGAAACCCCAGACUCACACAGAUGCUCCACUUAGUGAUUUUUUCAACAUACAAUUUGAGGGACUCUCCAAUUAUGAGGAAAACCCUGAUUUAUUCAAAAACCAGGUUUCCACUUUAAGAAAUUGGUUUCGAAAAUCAAUUGGUCAUGCUGGACCUUCAGGAAAUCAGCAUGGUGUUGUUCCGGCUUCAGGUUUUUCAUAUAGUACAAAUGAAAUUUGGAAGUGCAUUAAAGAGGACAAAGACCUUAAUCUGCCUAAACAUAAAGUUAUGGUGGCUACAGUGCGUUGUGGGCAAAUCAGUAGUGAGAAAGUUGCUAUUUUUAUAGCUGACCAGGAUUGGAAACAUUUUAAGGAGACUGUUCAAAAUUACUACGUUCCCGGGUUUGGGAAGAAGAUCAGCACACUUCUGGAUAGAUGUUUAUCAGAGUAUGAUACGGAAUGCAUUUAUUAUGAUGAUGGUGUCAGAACAUCGAUAAGGCAGCAACUCGAGUCUGAAAUUUUGAAGCUCGUCUAUCCUGCGUACAAAUCUCUUAUGAAGCAUUUGCUGAAUGGAACUUUAAAAGCAUUCGAGGAGUCCUUUCAUAAGGCCCAAAAAAAACAGGAAUUUGAAGUUGCUGCUCGUGAUUGUACUCAAUCAUUCUUGCAUAAGUUCACAAAAGGAUGUGAAGAUGCUACUAUUCAACAAAUGACAUGGGAUCCUGCAACUUUCAAGAAUAAGCUUAAGCAUGCCAUCGACGCUCAUGUGGAGUCAGUUCGUGUUUUGAAACUGAAAGUGGCAGAUCUUUGUGGCAGAUCUGAGGGGAGACUUACAAGAGCUCUAGCAGAACAAGUCAAGGAGUUUCUACGUUCAGCUCCAUAUAACGCCUGGGAAGCUAUUAAAACGCUUCUUGUAGCCGAGACAAGAGCUACUGCUGCGGAUCUUGAAGAUGCUCUUUUAGAUUGGAAGGUCGAUGAAGGUACAGUGAAAGAACUGCUUUCAACGCUGGAAAAUCAUGGUAAGAGCGUUGUUGAAUCAAAGGCAAAAGAAGAAGCUGCAACUAUCUCAAUCCGCAUGAAAGACAGAUUCACGAUAUUAUUCAAUGCCGAUAUGUCAGGAGCAAGGAAUGGAAAAGUAGAUAUACAAGCAAUUGCUGAAUCUGCCCGCGAUGAAUGUAUGGUGAUGCUUUGGAUAAUAUCGGCAAUUCGGUUAGAUGGAGACGGUGAUACCUUUGAAAACUUUCGUUCCCUACUAGUACUUGAUAAGAGUUGGCAAUUGGAUCCCCUGGCCUCCAUCUCAAGGAAAAAGGAGCUGAUUCUAAAGGAGGGAACUUUAAUCUCCCUUGACAACUGCAAGUUACUCUGGAGCCAAUUUAUGGUUCACGUUGAUUGCAUUGUCACCCUGGUCCUACUUGCUGAGGGGAGACUUACGAGAGCUCUAGCAGAACAAGUCAAGGAGUUUCUACGUUCAGCUCAAUCUAACACCUGGGAAGCUAUUGAAACACUUCUUGUAUGCGAGACAAUAGCUGCUGCUGCAGAUCUUAAAUAUGAUCUUUUAGAUUGGAAGGUCGAUGAAGGUACAGUGAAAGAACUGCUUUCAACGCUGGAAAAUCAUGGUAAGAGCGUUGUUGAAUCAAAGGCAACAGAAGAAGCUGCAACUGUCUCGAUCCGCAUGAAAGACAGGUUCACGAAAUUAUUCAAUGCCGAUAUGUCAAAAGGACGGAAUGGAAAAGUAGAUAUACAAGCAAUUGUUGAAUCUGCCCGCGAUGAAUGUAUGAUGAUGCUUUGGAUACUAUCGGCAAUUCGGUUAGAUGGAGCCAGUGAUACCUUUGAAAACUUUCGUUCCCUACUACUUCAUAAGAGUUGCCAAUUGGAUACUAUCGGCCAUUCGGAGCUGAUUCUAAAGGCGGGAACUUUAAUCUCCUCUGACAACUGCAAGUUACUCUGGAGCCAAUUUAUGGUUCAAGUUGAUUCCAUUGUACCCCAGGUCGUACAUGCUGAGGGGAGACUUAUAAGAGCUCUAGCAGAACCAGUCGACGAGUUUCUACGUUCAGCUCGAGAUAACACCUGGGAAGCUAUUAAAACGCUUCUUGUAAGCGAGACAAUAUUUGCUGCUGGGGACCUUAAAUGUGCUCUUUUACAUUUUGAGCCCAAUGAAGGUACAAUGAAAGAACUACUUUCAAGGCUGGAAAAUCAUGGAAGGAGCGUUAUUAAAUCAAAGGCAAAAGAAGAAGCUGCAACUGUCUCAAUCCGCAUGAAAGACAGGUUCGCAAAAUUAUUCAAUAAUGAUGCCCCUAUAUCAAGAGUACAGAAAGAAGAAGUAGAUAUAAAAGCAAUUGCUAAAUCUGCACAGGAUGAAUGUAUGAUGAUGCUUUGGAUAAUAUUGGCAAUUCGGUUAGAUGGAGAGGGUGAUACCAUUGAAAACUUCCGUUCCCUACUACUUGAUGAAGGGCCUCAGACGACAGAUAAGAGUUACCAAUAUGAUCCACUGUCCUCCAUCUCAUGGAAAAUGGCGGGAACUUUAAUCUCCCCUGUCCAGUGCAAGUCACUCUGGAGCAAAUUCAUGGUUGAAGUUGAUUCUAUUGUCAAACCGGCCCGAGAUGCUCAGUUCAAGAGAAGGAUUCGGGAUGUAUUGUUACUUCUUAGAGUGGCAGUCAGCUUGGGGACUGGCAUGCCUAUACCUUUUUGA